This 464-nucleotide ribosomal RNA is filed under the name Vreelandella stevensii. RNAcentral's name for it is "partial 16S ribosomal RNA". It matches the Rfam family "Bacterial small subunit ribosomal RNA", at positions 338 to 794 of the family's 1533-position model. The record is from RNAcentral. Lineage: Bacteria; Pseudomonadati; Pseudomonadota; Gammaproteobacteria; Oceanospirillales; Halomonadaceae.
CCUACGGGUGGCUGCAGUGGGGAAUAUUGGACAAUGGGGGGAACCCUGAUCCAGCCAUGCCGCGUGUGUGAAGAAGGCCCUCGGGUUGUAAAGCACUUUCAGUGAGGAAGAACGCCUGGUGGUUAAUACCCAUCAGGAAAGACAUCACUCACAGAAGAAGCACCGGCUCACUCCGUGCCAGCAGCCGCGGUAAUACGGAGGGUGCGAGCGUUAAUCGGAAUUACUGGGCGUAAAGCGCGCGUAGGUGGCUUGAUAAGCCGGUUGUGAAAGCCCCGGGCUCAACCUGGGAACGGCAUCCGGAACUGUCAAGCUAGAGUGCAGGAGAGGAAGGUAGAAUUCCCGGUGUAGCGGUGAAAUGCGUAGAGAUCGGGAGGAAUACCAGUGGCGAAGGCGGCCUUCUGGACUGACACUGACACUGAGGUGCGAAAGCGUGGGUAGCAAACAGGAUUAGAUACCCUAGUAGU